This 103-nucleotide microRNA precursor is filed under the name Marmota monax (woodchuck). The record is from RNAcentral. Lineage: Eukaryota; Metazoa; Chordata; Mammalia; Rodentia; Sciuridae.
AGUGUUAUAGCUGAGUCAAAUGGUGGUUAUAUUCCAAGUUUUCUAAGGUAUCUCUGUACGGCUUUUCAAAGUGGUUGUACCAUUUUGCAAUCCCACUAGGAAU